This 597-nucleotide long non-coding RNA is filed under the name Nicotiana benthamiana. Its description in RNAcentral is "long non-coding RNA (NBEN_LNC017214)". Lineage: Eukaryota; Viridiplantae; Streptophyta; Magnoliopsida; Solanales; Solanaceae. The record is from RNAcentral.
CUGCCUUCUCUCUACUUUCUCUCUCUAGAUUUUCUAUGAUUUCUCGGUCUAAUAUCAAUGUUUACAUGGAAUCAGAGCCUAGACGACGAUCCGAUUGUGUUUCUCUACAUCUCGUUGUCUUGGUUGAACUCUUUUUUGAGAUUUUCUAGGGCUUUUUCUGAGACCUUAUGGUCGAUGAUGGCUUUGACCUAGAUCGGAUGCUUUUCCGAGUUUUUCGUCAUGAUAUUUGAGUAUAUUUUCUUCACCCGAACAUUCUCAGUAGUUUACUGCUGAUUUUUGGUGGUUUCUCGGUGACCUAUCGGCUUCUAGGGUUUCUGGUGGUUUAACCUAGGGUUCUACUGCUUUCCGGUGGCUCGAUUCUAACUCAGUGGACGUUUUGGGUGCUUCUCCGACGUUCCUGACCACAUUUUCAGUAACGAUUUCCAAGGUUACACCUAGGGUAAUGUUUUUCCGAGUUUUUCGUCAUGAUAUUUGAGUAUAUUCUCUUCACCCAAAAAUUCUGAGAGUUUUUCUGCUGAUUUUGGGUGGUUUCUCGGUGACCUAUCGGCUUCUAGGGUUUCUGGUGGUUUAACCUAGGGUUCUACUGCUUUCCGGUGN